AACUUGCAACAAUGUGUCUCUUGGCUCUCGCGUCGAUUAAGAACGCAGCGAAAUGCGAUAAGUAAUGUGAAUUGCAGAUUUUCAGUGAAUCAUCGAAUCUUUGAACGCACCUUGCGCUCCUUGGUAUUCCGAGGAGCAUGCCUGUUUGAGUGUCAUUAAAUUCUCAACUCCGAUCGAUUUGUUUCGACCUCGGAGCUUGGACUUUGGAGCGUGCUGGCGUCGGUCGGCUCCUCUCAAAUGCAUCAGCGGAAUCUAACGUUUCGGACGUCAGUGUGAUAAUCACGUUGCGCUGUCGACCGAUCCUGAAAGCCCGCUCAUAAUGGUCUUCGGACAACUUCAUAUCAAAUUUGACCUCAAAUCAGGUAGGACUACCCGCUGAACUUAAGCAUAUCAAUAAGCGGAGGCU
This 406-nucleotide unclassified non-coding RNA is filed under the name uncultured Piloderma. RNAcentral describes it as "sequence contains ITS2". The stretch from base 1 to 155 matches the Rfam family "5.8S ribosomal RNA". Lineage: Eukaryota; Fungi; Basidiomycota; Agaricomycetes; Atheliales; Atheliaceae. The record is from RNAcentral.